UAUGAUUAAUCUCAUAGUGUCUACAACUGAAUACAUAGGUUGUAUGAUGGGAACCCGGGGAACUGAAACAUCUUAGUACCCGGAGGAAAAGAAAACGAAUGUGAUUCUGUCAGUAGCGGCGAGCGAAAGCGGAACAGGCCAAACCGGUCUACGGGCCGGGGUUGUAGGACUCUAGUUAGAGUUACAAAGUUAGUAUAUAGCAGAAACUGUUGGGAAGCAGUGGCGUAGAGGGUGAUACCCCCGUAUGCGAAAUAUACUAACCUCGAAAGAGUAUCCUGAGUACGGCGGGGCACGUGGAACCCUGUCGGAAUCUACCCAGACCACUGGGUAAGCCUAAAUACUACCAUUUUACCGAUAGUGAACCAGUACCGUGAGGGAAAGGUGAAAAGUACCCCGAGAGGGGAGUGAAAUAGUUCCUGAAACCAUAUGCUUACAAGAAGUCAGAGCCCGUUAAUGGGUGAUGGCGUGCUUUUUGUAGAAAGAGCCGGCGAGUUACGAUAUCAUGCAAGGUUAAGCGGAAUCCGCGGAGCCGUAGUGAAAGCGAGCCUUAAUAGGGCGUUCAGUAUGAUGUCGUAGACACGAAACCGGGUGAUCUAGCCAUGAGCAGGUUGAAGUUAGGGUAAAACCUAAUGGAGGACCGAACCAAACGUUCGUUGAAAAGACCGUGGAUGACUUGUGGCUAGGGGUGAAAUUCCAAUCGAACCCGGAGAUAGCUAGUUCUCCCCGAUAUAUCUUUAAGGAUAGCGUCGAGGUUUAGAAUUAUGGAGGUAGAGCUCUGAAUGUAUGAUGGCCCCACCUAGGGGUACUGAAUGCAAUUAAACUGCGAAUGCCAUAAUUUCAUACUCGGCAGUCAGAACAUGGGUGAUAAGGUCCAUGCUCGUGAGGGAAACAGCCCAGAUCUACAACUAAGGUCCCUAAAUAUCCGCUAAGUGUGUAAGGAUGUGAAGGUGCACAGACAGCUAGGAUGUUGGCUCAGAAGCAGCCAUCAUUUAAAGAGUGCGUAACAGCUCACUAGUCGAGUGCCUUCGCGCCGAAAAUGUACCGGGGCUUAAGCGGAUUACCGAAGUUUAGGAUUUACAGAAAUGUAAGUGGUAGGGGAGCGUUCUAAUAGCAAUGAAGUCAGACUGUGAGGACUGGUGGAGCGAUUAGAAGUGAUUAUGCCGGCAUGAGUAACGUUUGGAGGUGAGAAUCCUCCAUGCCGUUUGACCAAGGUUUCCUGGGCAAGGUUCGUCCACCCAGGGUUAGUCAGGACCUAAGGCGAGGCCGAAAGGCGUAGUCGAUGGAUAACAGGUUGAUAUUCCUGUACCACCUAAUAAA
RNAcentral lists this ribosomal RNA (1317 nucleotides) under Spiroplasma sp. GSU5603. RNAcentral's name for it is "bacterial LSU rRNA". It matches the Rfam family "Bacterial large subunit ribosomal RNA", at positions 132 to 1455 of the family's 2925-position model. The record is from RNAcentral. Lineage: Bacteria; Bacillati; Mycoplasmatota; Mollicutes; Entomoplasmatales; Spiroplasmataceae.